Molecule: unclassified non-coding RNA, 253 nt
Filed under: Ascomycota sp.
Lineage: Eukaryota; Fungi; Ascomycota
Description: partial contains small subunit ribosomal RNA, internal transcribed spacer 1, and 5.8S ribosomal RNA
Rfam family: Eukaryotic small subunit ribosomal RNA (bases 1-47)
Source: RNAcentral
AAAGUCGUAACAAGGUUUCCGUAGGUGAACCUGCGGAAGGAUCAUUACAAAUCCAUCCACGUCUCAACUCUUGAGACCACGUUGAACUGUUCCCUGGUGUGCAUAUAUGGUGGUGUGCCUUGCGGCACGCAUAUAUAUAUGCAUAUUAGGCUUGUUAAACUAGUCCUACAUCUGUUGCUCAACUGUAUCUUUCUUGAUUGUAAUGAUCAAGGCAAACAAAGUACAACUUAUAACAAUGGAUCUCUAGGCUCUU